AUUGAACGCUGGCGGCGUGCUUAACACAUGCAAGUCGAUCGGUAACAGGUGUAGCAAUACAUGCUGACGAGAGGCGGACGGGUGAGUAAUGCUUGGGAAUCUGCCUAUUAGUGGGGGACAACCCGGGGAAACUCGGGCUAAUACCGCAUACGCUCUACGGAGGAAAGCCGGGGACCGCAAGGCCUGGCGCUAAUAGAUGAGCCCAAGUCGGAUUAGCUAGUUGGAGGGUAACGGCCUACCAAGGCGACAAUCCGUAGCUGGUCUGAGAGGACGACCAGCCACACCGGAACUGAGACACGGUCCGGACUCCUACGGGAGGCAGCAGUGGGGAAUAUUGGACAAUGGGGGCAACCCUGAUCCAGCGACGCCGCGUGGGUGAAGAAGGCCUGCGGGUUGUAAAGCACUUUCAGUCGGGAGGAAGGCGGGUUGGCGACAGCCGGCCGGAUUGACGU
Molecule: ribosomal RNA, 452 nt
Filed under: uncultured bacterium
Lineage: Bacteria
Description: bacterial SSU rRNA
Rfam family: Bacterial small subunit ribosomal RNA
Source: RNAcentral